This 1490-nucleotide ribosomal RNA is filed under the name Paracrinia haswelli (Haswell's frog). Its description in RNAcentral is "partial 16S ribosomal RNA". It matches the Rfam family "Bacterial large subunit ribosomal RNA", at positions 296 to 2597 of the family's 2925-position model. Lineage: Eukaryota; Metazoa; Chordata; Amphibia; Anura; Myobatrachidae. The record is from RNAcentral.
UAAGUAUACCGGAAGGUGUGCUUGGAAACAAGAUAUAGUUUACACCAAAACCCCUUGCUUACACCAAGAAAACACCUGUUAAACCCAGGUUAUCUCGAACCCAACUUUUAGCCCUAAUAUACCUUAUACCCCUUCCACUACACAUCCAAACAUAUUAAAACAUUUUACCUCCUUAGUAAAGGCGAUUGAAAAACUUCUUUAGAGCUAUAAACAGUACCGCAAGGGAAUAAUGAAAUAGAAAUGAAAUAACACCAAAGUAAAUCAAAGUAGAGACCUACCCUCGUACCUUUUGCAUCAUGAUUUAGCAAGUCCAAACAAGCAAAAAGAAUUACAGUUUGACCCCCCGAAACUAAGUGAGCUACUCCGAGGCAACUUAAAGAGUCAACCCGUCUCUGUAGCAAAAGAGUGGGAAGACCUCCGAGUAGAGGUGAUAAACCUAACGAACUUAGUGAUAGCUGGUUGCUCGAGAAAGGGAUGUUAGUCCAACCUUAAACUCACUUAACAAAACUUAGUAAAACUCCUGUUUAAGAGUCAGUCAAAUAAGGUACAGCUUAUUUGACACAGAAUACAACCUAAACCCCUGGGUAAUGAAUUAGCCUGUGAAUAAGUAGGCCCAAAAGCAGCCACCUUGAGCAAAAGCGUCAAAGCUUUCACACCACAACCCCUCAAUCCCUCUCACCCCCCAGAACCCUCAUACACCAUUGAGCGAUUCAAUAGAUUUAUUGAAGACACUAUGCUAAAAUCAGUAACACGAGAACUCCCCUCUCUUUAGUGCAAGUGUAAAUCAAAACGGAAAACCCACCGAUAAUCAACGCCCAUGAGACUAAGACAGCAACCUUUCUAGAAAACCCUGCCUCUACCAACGUUAACCUAACACAAGAGCACUCAAAGAAAGAUUAAAAGAAGCGGAAGGAACUCGGCAAAUAUCAACCCCGCCUGUUUACCAAAAACAUCGCCUCUUGUUAGCAAUAAGAGGUCUAGCCUGCCCAGUGACCCUGUUCAACGGCCGCGGUAUCCUGACCGUGCGAAGGUAGCGUAAUCACUUGUUCUUUAAAUAAGGACUAGUAUGAAUGGCAUCACGAGGGUUGCACUGUCUCCCGCCUCCAAUCAGUGAAAUUAAUCUUCCCGUGAAGAAGCGGGAAUACCCCUAUAAGACGAGAAGACCCCAUGGAGCUUUAAACAAAUGGCACCUGUUAACUAAGUUAAACACUCUGACCCCUAGUUUUCGGUUGGGGCGACCACGGAGAAUAACCUACCCUCCAUGCUGAAUGACCAUGUCUAAGCCAAAAACCACCACUUUAAGCAUCAGCACCCUGACACCCAUUGACCCAAUCCAAUUGAUCAACGAACCAAUGUUACCCUGGGGAUAACAGCGCAAUCUACUUCAAGAGCCCUUAUCGACAAGUGGGUUUACGACCUCGAUGUUGGAUCAGGGUGCCCCAGUGGUGCAGCCGCUACUAAAGGUUCGUUUGUUCAACGAUUAAAACCCU